AGUCUACGGGAGGCAGCAGUGGGGAAUAUUGCACAAUGGGCGGAAGCCUGAUGCAGCGACGUCGCGUGAGGGAUGGAGGCCUUCGGGUUGUGAACCUCUUUCGCCAGUGAGGAAGGCCUUGCCUGUGUGGUGGGUUGACGGUAGCCGGGAUGAAGCGCCGGCUAACUACGUGCCAGCAGCCGCGGUAAUGACU
This 193-nucleotide ribosomal RNA is filed under the name uncultured bacterium. RNAcentral describes it as "partial 16S ribosomal RNA". It matches the Rfam family "Bacterial small subunit ribosomal RNA", at positions 335 to 527 of the family's 1533-position model. The record is from RNAcentral.